This 339-nucleotide unclassified non-coding RNA is filed under the name Basidiomycota sp. Its description in RNAcentral is "partial contains small subunit ribosomal RNA, internal transcribed spacer 1, and 5.8S ribosomal RNA". The stretch from base 1 to 47 matches the Rfam family "Eukaryotic small subunit ribosomal RNA", at positions 1785 to 1831 of the family's 1831-position model. Lineage: Eukaryota; Fungi; Basidiomycota. The record is from RNAcentral.
AAAGUCGUAACAAGGUUUCCGUAGGUGAACCUGCGGAAGGAUCAUUAUUGAACAAACUUGGUGGGUUGUAGCUGGCUUCUAGGAGCAUGUGCACGCCCAUCAUUACUAUUCAUCCACCUGUGCACACUUUGUAGUCUCGGAAGGAUCAGAGUCUCGGAUGGGCUUUGCCUGUUCGGAUGUGGGGAAUGCUGCUUCAGCUCUCUUCAAAACGGUUGUGACCUCCUUCUGGGGCUAUGUGUCUUUCUCAUAAACCAUGUAGUAUGUUGCAGAAUGUAAUCAAUGGGCCUCCGUGCCUAUAACAACUUAAUACAACUUUCAGCAACGGAUCUCUUGGCUCUC